Molecule: long non-coding RNA, 334 nt
Filed under: Suricata suricatta (meerkat)
Lineage: Eukaryota; Metazoa; Chordata; Mammalia; Carnivora; Herpestidae
Description: lncRNA (ENSSSUG00005013455.1)
Source: RNAcentral
AGGGUCCCUUGUCUCUGAGCGGGAGGCAGGGUCUGCCCCCCACGCUGUGGGCCGUGCUGGGCGCCUGGAGCCCAUGCAGGGGGGUAUGUGGGCCAGGCCGCAGCUCUGGGAGGGGCCAGGUUCACACCAGCCCUGCCCCCCACCGGAGGUGCAGGCGCGCCCACACAGCAUCCUGCCCUGAACUUUGUCCCACCGGUGGCGUCGGGGGUAAAGUGCCGAUUCUGAAGGGUGUAAUGGUGCGCGAGGGACCUAAUGGGGUUUGCCAUCAGGGACUCAGCCACUAGGGUGAGGGGGCUCCCGACGUGCUGCGAGGGACACUGUCCCUGGGUCCUGU